ACGAUGCGUAGGGGUUCUGAGAGGAAGGUCCCCCACACUGGUACUGAGACACGGACCAGACUCCUACGGGAGGCAGCAGUGAGGAAUAUUGGUCAAUGGGCGAGAGCCUGAACCAGCCAAGUCGCGUGAGGGAAGACGGUCCUAUGGAUUGUAAACCUCUUUUGUCGGGGAGCAAAAAGGCCUCGUGAGGCCACAAGCGAGAGUACCCGAAGAAAAAGCAUCGGCUAACUCCGUGCCAGCAGCCGCGGUAAUACGGAGGAUGCGAGCGUUAUCCGGAUUUAUUGGGUUUAAAGGGUGCGUAGGCGGACUGGAAAGUCAGCGGUAAAAUCGAGAGGCUCAACCUCUUUCCGCCGUUGAAACUGUCGGUCUUGAGUGGGCGAGAAGUAUGCGGAAUGCGUGGUGUAGCGGUGAAAUGCAUAGAUAUCACGCAGAACUCCGAUUGCGAAGGCAGCAUACCGGCGCCCGACUGACGCUGAGGCACGAAAGCGUGGGUAUCGAACAGGAUUAGAUACCCUGGUAGUCCACGCAGUAAACGAUGAAUACUAAUUGUCCGGUCAGAAUGAUGACUGG
Molecule: ribosomal RNA, 570 nt
Filed under: uncultured bacterium
Lineage: Bacteria
Description: bacterial SSU rRNA
Rfam family: Bacterial small subunit ribosomal RNA
Source: RNAcentral